GAUACGUUCCCAGUACGACUGGGCGACGCGCUAUCCAGAAGCCAUAGCUCGCACGAACUACUCUCGCUCGGUCAGACGAAACAGGGACGCAGGUCCCAGCUUUACACAGGUAAAACCCCUGCCCAUACGCAGGUACGGACUUCCGCAGCGGUGCGGCAUUCAGGUGGCGGACGACUAUCAGUAGUCGCUUUAGCCGCCGCAGCUAACAGUAGCCGCAAGUAAACUAAUAUCAGUAUUAGUUAGACCUGUAAUCACCGACAGCGGGAUUGACGGGUAUUAGUUAGUAACAGAGAAGUUCGGUAAAUCGGACCGGACGAGCCAACCACCGACAGUUAGGAUUCGGAGCCCAAACCGUUGCAGAAAGCUUUACAGGAUACAACACAUUCAUGGGCCGUGGUGGGCGGCUGGCCAUGACCAUGUAUAGCGGCGAACUGGACUGCCACGUGUCAGUAACAGUGCGAACUAAGUGGUACUAAAGGGACACUAUGGAAUAGCCCUUGGUGCAAGGCGUGGGUUGAGACUGACGUGCGGAAUGAAAAGGGUAAGAAUAGCCCUUGGUGCAAGGCGUGGGUUGAGACUGACGUGCGGAAUGAAAAGGGUAAGAAUAGCCCUUGGUGCAAGGCGUGGGUUGAGCCUGACGUGCGGAAUGAAAAGGGUAAGAAUAGCCCUUGGUGCAAGGCGUGGGUUGAGACUGACGUGCGGAAUGAAAAGGGUAAGAAUAGCGUUGAGAUGGAGGCGGUGCGAAAUGUACCGUGUUUGCGCUCCAAGAAGCAAUAUACAAGAGGCUCGACAACAACCAACUCGGCCACUAGUCGUACAGCCACAGCCGAUUAGAUGCCAUUGGGCCGUGUGUACUGUACGGCAUAUCAGGUAAAAUUGCCAGUCUUAACACUGGAUGAUGGGUCCAUAAAGGAACACAAAAGGAAGUCUUCCCCAUGCUUGAGGCUAUGCCGGCUACACCCUAUGGUACGUGUGGCUUAUGCUCCUGAAACCUGAAAUCUGAUAAAGACCCCGAAGCACGGAGACCCCGGCUUCUUCCUUGUCAAGUCACCCACCCGAACGGCUGCGUGCGAUCUCCGACGCAGUCAACUAGGUGCAGGAGCUUCGGUGCAGAGAUUCUAUGUACAAUUCCAAGCUUCACAGCUCGCUGAACCCAACUAUCGCACUCUGCAUCAUGCGCAUUCCAAUUGCGCUACGGAAAGGGGCUGUCCUAUACAUCUUUGCAUAACCCUUGAGGAACUGUUGCCGUGCUGCGGUUGGUGCUGUGGCAGUGGCAGCGAAGUGUGGCUCCUGCGCAUGCUGGGGUUGCUGGCUGGGUGACUGUAAUCUCUGGCUGCCAAUGGCAGUAAGUGAAAAUAGGUGCUGAGGCUGUGACCCACGGUUCCUUGGAAUAGCCAGGUCCUACAGCCCCUGGGCGCCGUGCACUGGUAAUGCGUGUGUUGGUAUCCCUUCGACCCACGUCGUGUCAGCGUUUAGGAUGUGCUGCUCAGGCCAAAAUGUGCUGUUUCGUUCGGCAGCAUGGUCGUGCUGAGGUAUGCAAUAUUCGGCUCCCGAUGGUCUCCA
This 1563-nucleotide long non-coding RNA is filed under the name Volvox carteri. Its description in RNAcentral is "long non-coding RNA (VCAR_LNC000080)". Lineage: Eukaryota; Viridiplantae; Chlorophyta; Chlorophyceae; Chlamydomonadales; Volvocaceae. The record is from RNAcentral.